ACAGCGUGGCCUGCUGCGAGUGCCUUCGGUUCAAGCAUAACUCCGAGCUGUGCGCGGCAUGCUGCUUUGGCGCGCCAACCGUAGAAACGACGACCGGUAGUCAUGGUAACAGAGUGGCCUGCUGCGCUUGCCUUCGGUUCAAGCAUAACUCCGAGCUGUGCGUGGCAUGCUGCUUUGGCGCGCCAACCGUAGAAACGACGACCGGUAGUCAUGAUAAGCGUGGCCUGCUGCGAGUGCUUUCGGUUCAUGCAUAACUCCGAGCUGUGCGCGGCAUGCUGCUUUGGCGCGCCAACCGUAGAAACGACGACCGGUAGUCAUGGUAACAGCGUGGCCUGCUGCGAGUACCUUCGGUUCAAGCAUAACUCCGAGCUGUGCGCGGCAUGCUGCUUUGGCGCGCCAACCGUAGAAACGACGACCGGUAGUCAUGGUAACAGCGUGGCCUGCUGCGCUUGCCUUCGGUUCAAGCAUAACUCCGAGCUGUGCGCGGCAAGCACAGUUCUGAGAUAUCGGUGCAGGCGAACAGUUCAUUUUCCAGUUUUUAUUCACACAAAUUGUGCAAGUUUGGCAGGUUUGCUUCAACGGAGUAAGUGUUCUUUUUUGUAGUGUUAAAGAACUAAGUUUAAAACUAUUUGAAUUUAACAAUUUAAAUAUUUUUAGAAAAAUGAGUGCGACAAAAAUGCGCGGACGGAACUGGUCGACAGCGGAAGACGAGGCACUGUGCACGGCGUGGCUGAAUACUUCCCAGGAUUCCAUAACAGGAACAAACCAGAAAUUGGAGACGUUCUACAAUCGAGUCUACGAAGUUUUCGUCGAAAUUUGUACCGAACGAAACCUGGACUGCCAACCAGAGCUGCGUGUGCCGUCUGGCAUAAAAGCCAGAUGGCUUACAAUCAGCAAGUCGUGCAGCAAAUUUGCUGGAUGCACUGCUCAAACCAAUACGCGAAAUCAAAGCGGAUCAACACCGGUGGACCAACUGAAGCAAUCUUUCGAGCUCUACAGAACCUCGGUGAAAGCGCCCUUCAACUUAUUACACUGUUUUAAGCUGCUUCAGAAUCCUCAAAAGUGGCAGCAGUACCAAACAACGAAGGUAAUUAAUAUAUUGAAUACAUUCAGUUUGAUUAAUCUACUUUGGAGUGUAAAAACCAUGUCUUGUAUCUUCCAAAGGAAACCUCCAUGAAACGGAAGCAUUCUGAAGAGAGGACCGAAGUUGAAGAUCAUACGGAAUCUUUCCAAUCAACAUCGUCGGAGCGUCCAGCCGGAAUAAAAUCCACGAAAAAGGCCGUUGAAGUCCGCAGCAGUUUGGCGAAAUCAGGAUACGAACUAGCCAAAGCUGCCCAGCUGGUCGUCGAUGCGUCAAAGAAAAAGGCAGUUCUAAGUAAAGCGGUAAACGCACUUCGGAAGGAAUCGGUCAAGAAAAAUUUCAAAUGGGCAGCAGCGGCAGCGAAAGCAAGCCAGAUAGGUGAAGAAAAGCCCCAAGAAAUCGUUCCCUCUCCUUUGUUCUGCUAUUCGUAAAGCUGUUUCUUGACCCCCUUCCUUCUGAUCUGCGUACUAGCCUUAAGGAGCGGACCUUGGCCAUUAACCGGCUUGCAGAUGAUUCUGUGCAAUAUAAAAUAUACCUGACAACAAUGCCAGGCGAUUCGAAGAAGAAUAUCAACAAAAACAAAACGCGCAGUAUGGGAUUAGACAGCACGCAUUUGCCGAAAGUGCGGCGCGUCGUUUCGAGGCUGGUUUGCCGCGUGUCUUUCUCGGGAAUACGCGCAAUAUUGUUAAUUUGAUUUUGGUUAACCGCGGUAAUUUUUUUUUUGAAAUAAUUCGUUGGCGUCGAACUGUCAAAAAAUGAUCGCGGUGGAUUGCGGUGGAUACUUUACUAUCACAGUCUUUUGUGUUCUCAAUCCCAGAUCGAAAGUCCGUAAACCCACGAUGUUUUGUAAGGCCACGAUGUUUUUCGAAAAUUUCGAUGAACUGUAUGCUGCGCGGUAGCGUAAAAGAGAAAGCAUGCUCAAGCUUUUCAUCGACGUUUCGCAAAGCACGCCAUUUCGUUCUCUCGCGAGUGCAAUUUUUUCGGAAGUUCUGUCAAAUGGAAAACUUUUCGCAUCGUUUGCGUGUUUGGUCGUGAUUUUUUCCGGUGCGGUCCAUUUUUUUUCAAUCGUAGAAACAGCCGCAACAAGUCUGAAAUCGGUGGUCAGGAGCAAAGGGCCCUGGUGCAGUGGCUUCAGCAAAGGGAUAAGUAAAUUACGGAAAUGAGACGAAUUCCGGCAAAGAUAUACUUAAUAUACAAAUACUUUUUUCUUCUCCUUUCAGAGCUGCAUUGAGACCCUGCCGGACACCGAUUCCGGCGUGAUGUGGCGGCCCUUCCAGAACCAAACAACCAACACAAUUUUUGGUACCUGCCGAGUGGCCACCUGUGACGGAUCGGUUUCUGGUGCUGGUGCCACCUAUUCCUGGGAACGACGAAAAUGAUGAGGCAGGAAAAGCCGGAUACCGGGAGAAGCUUCCGAUGCCACCGGAGGAACAGGAACAAAUUUCAUCUCACAAAUACCAAACCAGAUCCGAACAACGACCGUCAAAUUGUCAGCCUUGGCCAGCGAAGAAAGAAUCAUUGGUCUGCAGAACAGAUCCAACAUCCCCCCCAGCCGUUUGGCCGGCGAAACCGUUUCUGCAGUUUGUAAACAAAGAUGUUUUGAAACUGAAGAUAGACGAACGGGAAACAAACCAUCCGUCGGUCGCGUGCCACUUCGUUGACCGAGGAGAAACUGAACUGCUGGUGAGUUCCGGCGAAGUUACGCCCAGAUGUAGUUCAUCAUCAAGUGCACCGCGCUGGAGCCUGUCCCACGGAGCAAGUUCUCCCGAAGCCUCCCAAGGUCCUCAAAACUGACCGCGCGCCAGAACCAUAUCUGCCAAUGCCGGUUUUUGCGUUCGCCAACAAGAGCUUCAAAUGAGACCAGAAGGAGGAGGAGGAGUAGCUGCAGGAUGUGGUCAAGAACUUGGAAAAAGUCCUAAAGCGGCGUUCGGCCAACUUUGCAAAUGACGGCACCUUGGCUGUACCAACAUUGCGGGGCGAGAAUCCCCGAGGUUCUUUGAACGCCGCGGCGCUGUGCAUCGUAGAAUACCUCUGUAACGCCCCAGGCAGAACCAGUCAAAGUGUCCGCAGCGCUGCCCAACGGCACUUCUGCUGAAACGACCCCGCGGGGCAGGGCAAGGGCAGGGUCCCCCGAAGCAUCCCAGCUGGAUGGUUCCGACGAGAUUCGUUGAUCUUCGCAAGUUACCAGGACACUUUGACUUCAGAAAAAAAAAGUUGCGUCGCGAGGAGAACCAGCGGAGGAAGAUAUAACGUGACCAGGAAGCUUCAGGAGCAGGACGAUCGCUUCAGCAGCAGUGAACGGGUUUCGUCCAACGAAACCGGUCCACGAUUCUGGACUAUUGCUGGGUUGAUCUGGCGCGGCACUUUCGAUUCGAACAGAUGAACCAGAAUCAGCAUCAGCAUGUUUAACAUGAGAUAAGUGCAUCCGGAGAAGGACGACGGGGCGGUGGCUGACUUACCGUGACAACAAAUAGAAUUAGCAGACCGGAGGCGACCGAACCGAUCCUGUCAAAGGACAGGUCAAAAUAGUCAUCAGAGAAAUCUUCCAAACUAACCUUCUCCCUUUCCAGCUCUAAAACCCUGCAACAACAAACACGAUUCUUGCCCUGUGACGUAUUCCGAUCUGCCGAACUCGCGCUUAAUUACUUAGGGCGAUCUGUUCAACACCGGAACCACCUCUUCGUUGGCAGAAGGCCUCGGCAGCCGGAUGAUCAUGACAGUGCGAGUCCCACGACUCGACACUCCCGAACGGUCACCUAAACAAAAAUGAUCCACCACCGUCGGAGUGUCCACGUUCGUCGGGACCGAUUAACGACGACCGAGACAAUCGUGGAAUGCGAAACAACAGUGGUGGCGGAAUCGGAUACACCAGUAUAAUACCGAGCUUCGUCUUGGGCGGCAGCGGCGGCGGUACGAAUCAUCAUCAAUCGCACGGAUCAAACUAUUCGUGACUCGUACGAAGGAGGCUGUCGCGGACAAACGCAACCUCCAAGGUUGGCCACCCGGCAUCAGCGAAACCAGCAUCGGGAUCACGACGAUCAUCGGCGGAACUCCGGACGGCGGAAAUUGUCAGCAAUACUCCGGCACUGCUCUGCUUCGUCACCGGAUACGACACUUCAUGAAGAGAUGACCAUCUAGCCGCCGAACUGAACCAGCAAAUCUCCAGCAAUGUCAUAGGAUCAGCGAAAGCUUCAAGGACCAUCGAGUGCAAAAAACCGGUUGCCGGUGCUGAUCAAGAACGUCCGCAGUGGCUUGUCCAACUCGAAAAGAAGCAGCGCAUGCUGCAGCCGCACUCCAGCCUCCGGUUUUCUUUACGUUGAAAAUCAACCGGUCAACCUGCUGCGAUAGAUCGACCAGGCCAUCGAAACGGAGAAACCAAAUAAGGCGAAACCGACCACGCUGGUCGUCGGUCCAACCAACGGUCCAGCAGCCAAGAAAUCGUUUCGCAGAACACCACGGCUCGUGUCUUGCAAAAUACUUCCAUUUCGCCCAAUGCGGCACCUGUCGCCUUCCGGCACAUGGCACCGUCUACGAUAAUCGAGGAUAUAAUAAGGACAGGAGCGGUGCAUCGUGCAGGAGUGCCGGAAGCCGAUCUGUCCGACAUCUACAAUCUCGUCGGUUCUGAAAAGUUCGUCGUCGCGUAAUGAAAAAGGAGGAGCAACAGCAAGAGACAAUCCAAACCGCGGUGAAGAUGGUCGUAAAUCGUUCGCUGGCCAACACCAUGGAGGACGUGUGCAAGAACAUUAUUGUCCUCGGAGAAUCCGAACGGUAGUUCAAAUCUGGAACGACCCCAGAAUAAACCUCACGGAUAACAACGCAAACCCGUCAGCAUCCUCAAGACGGAAAAACCAGAACCAUCCGGUACCAAAACUGGUCCCGACAAAUCACUACAAAGAAAUCAUGUGUCAAAAAAUGUUCUGGAGACCCGACCAGCCACACCCUCCACCAUCACUUGAACGCCAGCAGGCCUACAAUGAUGACUCCAACCACAGAAGAGGCAGCGAAUGACAAACAUGUUAAAGCUGCCUGAAAUAAAUCAACUACCACCACCACCAACCACAGAAGAACCGGAACCCCGGCUUCCAGAAAGAACCAGCCUCACCGCUCAACACACCUGCCGCCGUUCCAGACACUCCUCGAUGCACAACUCGGCGGCUCGGAGAAGAACCAUAAUGGCAUUGAAACCGAACCGGACUCCAACUCAGCCGGUCUAAAACGUUGCCGCAAUGGCCCGUCCUCACCGGGAUCGAGAACGACAAUGGUGGCUCAUGGCCAGGCCACCUCGAAUUAGGCGCAGGAAUCGGUGUCACUGAAGGAAAGGAAGCAUCAGUUCGAUGGGGACGAACACGACUUAACGCUCGAGCGGUCACUGGCAGGAUCUACUCCAAUAAAGUGAACGAAGACCCUUUUUAUGCAGCGAUCUCGAGCUGGUCUGCACCCAACCCCAAACGCCGUCCGCAACCGGCACGUGGCCAUGGCACUGCAAGCGCACUCGGAUCGAUGCCGCCCGAAACAUGCCACACCGGACGACCACGUUCGCUAGCAAUGUGAAUAAAAUGAUCAGUAUGAACGGGGUUCUGUACUACGAAAAUCGCACGGUAUGUUUUCUGAAUCAUAAAAAAUAACAAAACUUCUAUUGCAUUAUUAUUAUCAUGUCUAUAAUUAAAAAGUAUUUGGUUUGAGAAUAUAUAACAAAAAGUCUGUAACAAUAUUCAUUGUAUAUGAAUGAAUAGUACCAAACCUUUCAACACUUUUUCCCCCCUAAAAUGCUACGUCUGUUCUGAGUGAAUCCAAAAAGAAAGUUGAUCAUUCAAGGCCAAUACGAACCAUUCAAGAAAUAUUAUAUGUGGUUUGAUGUGAUAAAAAUUGCCUUCAUUUUUUUCUUAUAAAAUGCUAUUUCCCCGAACGCGGUCAAGCGGAAAUACCCGGUGCCCAGGAGCGCGCGCG
Molecule: long non-coding RNA, 6028 nt
Organism: Culex pipiens pallens (northern house mosquito)
Lineage: Eukaryota; Metazoa; Arthropoda; Insecta; Diptera; Culicidae
Exons: 4
Source: RefSeq, a predicted model, not a curated record